AUUUAUAUAAUAUAUUUAGUAUAUUUGACUUCCAAUCAAAAAGUUUAAUAAUCUUAAUAUAAAUA
RNAcentral lists this transfer RNA (65 nucleotides) under Argynnis paphia (silver-washed fritillary). RNAcentral describes it as "tRNA-Gly". RNAcentral also lists the same sequence under 2 other names. The record is from RNAcentral. Lineage: Eukaryota; Metazoa; Arthropoda; Insecta; Lepidoptera; Nymphalidae.